UAAAAGGUUCUAAUCAGAACCACAGAAUAUGGUCUAAGUGACUGUGU
Non-coding RNA from Stegodyphus mimosarum, 47 nucleotides. The record is from Rfam. NCBI's taxonomy places the organism in Eukaryota, Metazoa, Arthropoda, Arachnida, Araneae, Eresidae.